RNAcentral lists this ribosomal RNA (505 nucleotides) under uncultured bacterium. Its description in RNAcentral is "bacterial SSU rRNA". It matches the Rfam family "Bacterial small subunit ribosomal RNA", at positions 29 to 507 of the family's 1533-position model. The record is from RNAcentral.
AUGAACGCUAGCGACAGGCCUAACACAUGCAAGUCGAGGGGCAACGGGGCGUAGCAAUACGCUGCCGGCGACCGGCGGAUGGGUGAGUAACGCGUAUGCAACCUGCCUUCAGCAGGGGGAUAGCCCGUUGAAAGACGGAUUAAUACCCCAUAACACAGGGGCUCCGCAUGGAGAUUAUUGUUAAAGGGAUGCUUCCUUCGGGGGUAUUCCGGCUGAAGAUGGGCAUGCGUUCCAUUAGGUAGUUGGUUGAGGUAACGGCUCACCAAGCCUACGAUGGAUAGGGGAACUGAGAGGUUGGUCCCCCACACUGGUACUGAGACACGGACCAGACUCCUACGGGAGGCAGCAGUGAGGAAUCUUGGUCAAUGGACGGAAGUCUGAACCAGCCAUGUUGCGUGAAGGAGGACGGCCCUAAGGGUUGUAAACUUCUUUUGCAGCGGAAUAAAGUAUUCCACGUGAUGGGAUAUUGCAAGUACGCUGCGAAUAAGGAUCGGCUAACUCCGUG